Molecule: ribosomal RNA, 435 nt
Filed under: uncultured bacterium
Lineage: Bacteria
Description: partial 16S ribosomal RNA
Rfam family: Bacterial small subunit ribosomal RNA
Source: RNAcentral
AGCGAACGCUGGCGGCAGGCUUAACACAUGCAAGUCGAGCGGGCAUCUUCGGAUGUCAUCGGCAGACGGGUGAGUAACACGUUGUAACUUACCCUUCUGUUCGGAACAACUCUGUGAAACUUGAUCUAAUACCUUAUACGCCCUUAUGGGUAAAGGUUUACUGCCUAAGGAUCGUCCCGCGUCUGCUUAGCUUGUUGGUGGGGUAACGGCCUACCAAGGCGACGAUCAGUAGCUGGUCUGAGAGGAUGAUCAGCCACACUGGGACUGAGACACGGCACAGACUCCUACGGGAGGCAGCAGUGGGGAAUAUUGGAAAAUGGGCGGAAGCCUGAUCCAGCCAUGCCGCGUGAGUGAUGAAGGCCUUAGGGUUGUAAAGCUCUUUUGUCCGGGACGAUAAUGACGGUAACGGAAGAAUAAGCCACGGCUAACUUCGUG